CUCCUGGCACGGCUGGUUCAGCGCGGACCACUGCUUCUUGUUUUGUGCUGGACACUUCUCCGGGUGUGCGCGUUCAUGCCGGUGGGAAGCCUUCUUCCAAUGAUUCCCAACACUAGAUUCCUGGCCUUCCAGCUACCUCUAUGAUGGCGAGUGAGGCUGGUCCAUCCUCUUCACGAUCUGUUCGAGCUGCGGAAUCUACACACAAGAGGAGAUUUGUACGAGCUUGAUUUUGCUGUCAUCGGCCGUGAGGGAGACAUAACGGAGGAUUGUGUGCCACAAAACUGCAUCGACCAAUUCAGGGAUCAACGGAAAGAAGGAUCAAUCUUAACGAUUAAUUUUUUGUUGUCGACAUGCCCAAGACGGCAAGACCUAUAUAGUAUCAGACUGUUCAAUUUCUAUCAGGAACCCAUUAUACGGUGCAUUCAGUCCAAUUUCUUUUAUACCUGCUUUCUUCCCCUCAAAACAACUAAUGAUGCUUUCAUGUACAAUACCUUCUUUGUUUGUUGCUAUGACCGUUGUUCAGUCAACAGGUAUAAAGAUUUCAGCCACGCACCCCAAAUACUCACCGGUUGGAUUUACCGGCCGCUAACUUUAACCUCUAUCUGGUUUUGACACAAUAUAGGUGUGUGGGCUCUCAAGAGCACACACAUAACAUGUUGUUAUAUAAAUUACUACAGUUUUGAUGCCGGUGGUUUUAUAUUAAUGCAUAAUCAUUACCCCAAGUUGUUAUAUCCGUGCACUGUAUUGUAUUACACAAGGGGGAGAAGCUUUACCACAAGCUGCAGGUGUAUGGUCAAUCUUCAGCAUUGCAAGAGGCAUGUGGUAUUUUUUGGUAUUGUUAGUCAGCUUUUAGCACUAAGCAAACUAGAGAUUGAAGACGAGUUCAAUCACUUUUUCUCCUGGAACAUAUGAAAAAGAUGGGUACUUAGUUUCUUCUAGCCUACUGUGCUGCCAUAUAUUGUUCUCUCCUACGACAAGUUCUUUUGACAGCUUUGAAAGCUCUAUCCAUGCAUAUUCAUUUACUGAUGCCUGAUCUCUGGACUUUUCUAUGCUUUGUAUUGCACUUUAUCAUAGAUAGAUGGUACGUUCUGUUUGCUCUCACGCCGAUAUUCAUGUAUGCUGAGUACCAAAAUACUAAUAUAGUGAGCAUUUUAUGUAGUAUAUUCACAGUAUUUGAUCCAUCGGAAAAAAUGCUGGCAAAAUAGAUUGGUAUUUAGAAAAAUGUGUUGCUACCUGCAGUUCUAUUCUCCUUUCAUAGUCUCUUGCUCCGGCUCUUGGUCUCAGGCAGAUGUGUGUAGCCUGCAGGUCGCAACACUGAAGAAUGGAGCGGUUGGUGGAGGGCGUCUCUACAUUGUUUCCAGAGAGAUAAUGAAAUAGAUGCUGAUUACAUCUUAAACUAAGGUUGUCCUUAAAUGGAAAUCACAUCAAGAAAAACAUUUAGAUGGUCAGAUUUAGUGGAUUGAGUUUGUUCAUUUAACAUAAUAAUGGAAUUAAUCCUGAAUUGCUGACUAAUAUCCUGGUGAGUGCCUCUUUUCAUGUGAUCAUACUGCAAUAUUGGUUCAACUCUUGUGAAUGCCUUUUUUCUUUGAGCAUACUGCAAUAUUGGUUCAUCUCUUUCAGCUGUACAGUCUCAUGUUUUAUGGGCACCAUACCUGUCGGGUGCAACAUAAAGUGAUAAUGACAUAUGUCCCAUAAACUAUGUAUAUAGGUUUUUGAUCUAACAUCGUACUCUCCCUAAUUUCUCAUAUAUAUUCUUAUCCUGCCCUUUUGGUAUUCCUGGUAUGCCACUUGCUUUCUUAGGAUUAUUCGCUGUAAUAAUAUAAUUUGUCAUUUAACUGCUCAAUACAUGAAGUAGAGGUUGAUUUUAAUGACAUGUGAUGGUAGAAAAUGUCUAUUUUGUCAGUAAAAUUUUCAGAUUUCAGAUGAACUUCUUUAAAUAUGGUGAGGAUAUAACACAUGGUAAAUCAAAUAGGUGGUAUGUAUGCAGUGAUCUUUUGAUGGCCUAUGGUAGAACCAAGAAUUAUACAUGAACACUACUAAUGUGCUCAGUUCACCUGAACUAAAUGAUGGGCGCGUACCAAGCUUCAAGAAAUUUUCCUGGAGGCACAUUCAUGUAUUUUUGUUCUGUUGGGUACAUUUUGAUAUAUUUGCCGUCCUUCUGGUUUCCAAUUUAUCUUAUUUUCGUAUUUGUCAUUUUGAUUUUCUUAAGUAGUGGAGUUUGUAAAUGAUACCGUUUAUUAUUGAGGAUAACUUGCUAAUGCUUAUCAACCACUAUGUACUUUAUACUCAUUUAUACAAGUGACACUUGCAAGUUUCUUAACUAGGUAUUCACGGUACUACCAAUAUGCAUGAAUGGAGUUGAGGAAUUUCAAAGCGCCUUUAAAAGGUUGUAUGGGUCGUUGCUACCAUCAUUGUUUAAGAGUUUCAAGUUGUAAUAUGGCCACUUACAGAAGGAGUAACAAAUUCGCUAGAAAGUUAAUGUAUUCGCAGUUCUUGGUGUAAGAAUGUUAUCAAGUGAGUUUAGUUUUGGUUUCUAUCUAAAUGUCCACUUCAAAAAAACAAAGACCAAUAUAGAGUUUUCAGUAUGGUUACACAAUUAUCAAUUA
Lolium rigidum is the source of this 2606-nucleotide long non-coding RNA. RefSeq lists it as uncharacterized. The transcript is spliced from 4 exons. NCBI's taxonomy places the organism in Eukaryota, Viridiplantae, Streptophyta, Magnoliopsida, Poales, Poaceae. The record is from RefSeq and is a predicted model, not a curated record.